GAAUGCGAUGCACCGGUAUCAAAUAAAGCACGAACUCUAAUGCCAUCAAGUAAAAUGAUACCUGCAACCACAUCCUCGGCUGCUGCCGCCUCCUCGGUCUGAGCGGCGUACAUGCGCCCACUCGGGGCCUGUCGAGAUCCCUCGCUCUGGUGCUGGACGGAUGGCCGCCCAGGCUGGUACUGUGCCGACGGAGUCCCGUGGCUGACGGCUGGUAGAGCCGGUGCCGAUGCAGUCGACGGUGCCGGUGAAGAACCUCUCGGGCACUCGGUACGCACGUGGCCCUCCUGGCCACACUGGAAGCACCUGCCCGCCCGCUGUGGACACUGUGGUGGAUAAUGGGGACCACCGCAGAUCACACACGGGGAAGGCCGGCGCCGAUCGGAUCCUCCUCGCUGUGCUGCUGAGCCACGUCCACGGUGCUGGCUCCUCGGAUGCUUCGGCGGCCUCCUAGAGUGUGUCUGACUCGCACCCUCAGCCGCAGGCCUCUUGGCCUUACCCUUGUCCCUCGCAUCUCGCUGCUCCUGGACCUCUGCCGCGCCGCUCUCCACGAUGAGCGCGCGAUCUACCACCUCCCGGUAGGUUUGGAGGUUAGAGGAUUGCACGAACCGAAAGAUAGACGGUCUCAACCCUCGCUCGAAGAUGCGGGCCUUGUCCUCGUCGUCCAGCAUGACGAAGGGCACGCAAUGCAGAAGCCGAGAAAACUCCCUCUCGUACUCGGCUACAGUCCGGUCGCCCUGGCGCAAGUUGCGCAGAUCCUGCUCCAUCUUCCUCUUGACGCUGGUCGGGAAGUAGUGCGCCAGAAGAAGCUCCUUGAACCUCGUCCAAGUGAUAGAUGCCAAGUCAGUGCUGGGGUGCUCCUGAAAGUCCAACCACCAGCGGUAGGCCUCGCCGUCCAAGUGGUGAGUGGCGAGCCAAACUCGAUCCCUCUCCUCCACGAAGGUGUCGCGGAAGAGCUUCUCCAUAUGCAUCAACCACUUAUCCACGAUCCAGUGGUCAACUUUCUCGCCGUCGAAGACUCGGGGACUGCACCUCCUGAACUCGUUGAGGCGCUCCAUCAGUCUAUCUCGCUCCGCCCCCUCAACCAAAGUAGGGAAAGCUGCUCCAACCGGGGGCCUCUGCACAGGUGGUGCCACCAAGACCUCCUCCUGGGGUACGGCCGCAGGCGCCGCACGCGAAGAACUGGGCGCGGGGGACGGCGCUCUCGGUGCAACGUCCACAACUGGUGCUGGCGGUGUAGGGCCCUGCGUCUCCCUAGAAGCCGCUGCCUGCUGAGAAAGUAGAUCCUCCAGGCGCUUCAUCCGCGCCUCCUGUCGGCGCGCCGCCUCGGUCUGCUGUCGGGCCGCCUCCGCCUGCUGAGUGACUAGGUCGGUGAGGGCUGCAAGCUGGCCCCUCAACUCACGGACCUCGCUGGAUCCGGAGGUAGUGGAGGUCUCAACCUCCUCGAAGUUUGCCGCAUUGUCCGCCCCGGCAGACUGGGAGCGAGUAAUCGGCAUCGUCACUACAAAACAUAAAAGCGCAAGUUAGAAAUACUCACGCUAUCGCAUCCCCGCUCAAAAGACAAACCCCAAAUCAUGCGAAAGUAAGGAAGUGUCCUACACUACUAACUCCCGAUGUUACGUUGUCGGCCGCCAACGUAACCCUCCGCGAAGUUAGAAGCCAAACACUCCAAUCAACUCUAACCUUUUAGAGUUAUCAUAAUACCCAAUCAUGAUACUUUCGCUCACAAGUCGAAUAGACCUCGUCUCUCACGAGCCUAUUUCCUAUAGUCCAACCGGCCUAAGGUUUGCUAGGUCCCCUAAGACUCAACCCUAGGCUCUGAUACUAAAUUAAUUUGUCACGCCCCGGGACCCAGCGGAAGCCCGCCCGGCGCGUGUCCAGACCCGCCAUAUGUCUACAACAUAUAAGGCGUCUAAAAACAACGAUAAUAAAAGCAGUAAUAAGAGAUACCUAGGAGUAUCAGAGCAUAAUAAAUGUCUAAAUGCUACAACAAGGGAUAAGGAUAAAACUGUAAAUCCACUAAAUGAAACAUAGAGUAAGAACAAUAGGAAAUCCCAAAUACAAGAGUUAAAAGUAGGUACAUAGGUGGUCUCUAUACAUGGAUACAAAAUCUCUCACUCUCUCUCAACUACAAAAAGAAAGAGUAAACCACCUAGGCAAAGUACCGCUCCUCGCUAGCUAGCUAAGCAAUCCCCUUGCCGCGAUCCCGUGCCUCCGCCGGUGCCGAAGGCUCUGAAAAGUAAACCACAAAACGGGGGCAUGAGAACUAUUAAAAAUAGUUCCCAGUGGGCAAUUACUGACUUCAGUGAAUGCACCACAAGGCCCAAAGCUACAAAAGAUGUCAGUGACAAUAAAAGUAGAAAGGCGACAGGUAGGUGAAAAUGUAACCUACUACGACAUGAUAUCUCUACUUAGCAUGAAUAGCAAAAGUAUGAAAGCAACUAUGCAUGAAGUAAAUGUCUCCAACUAUCAUGAUGUCCACAGUGUGAAAUAGUAAAAUUCCGUUGUUUACUAUUCUAAUCAAUGUUCAAGUAGUAUACUAAGUCAUCAUCUGUCCACAUGUCAUAAUAGAUAUAUAAAGUCCAAUCUGAAGAGACCCACCCGAAGGCUGUCUGUGGCCCUGAGACCCACCCGUAGGCUGUCUGGCCGGUGUCGAGCCUAAUGGCCCCGUGGUAGUCAACACUCCCACCCUAGGAGUGAGCCUGGCCCACGGCAAUCCACUUCGGCGCCCAAUCCCGCACGGCGAAUAUGUAUCGCGAUGGCCAUCUCCGGAGUGCCGGCUUGUAGGGAGCGACCCUCACAAGCAUGUGCGAAUGAGCACAAUGGCAAGUAGUCAAACGAUCUGUCGCAAGUACCAAGUCCUCAUGUCUAAUAACAUGGUAUAUAGUAAAUGUCCUCGUGGCCAAGUCACUAUUUCAUCAUAUCUCAAAUAUGGAAUAUAGUUGAUGUCAAUGUGGCCUAUUAUCAAGUCUCUAUGUUGCAGUUUAAUAAUUUUCUAGUCCAAGUGCCUCUUUAUGACACUAUGGCUCAUUUUGUCCCGACAUGGAUACUAAGUUCGAGAACUUAUAGUUCUAGUCAAAAUCGAAGCAUGAAUCUUGAUUUCCUAUCAUCUCAUGGAAUAUUCGUCGCAUGCAUAUUAACAAAGCACAUUGUCUCUCUCUCUCUACUACAUAGAGUAAAUUUUCUUGAUGCACAACAUAUGAGUUCUAAGCAUUCAAAAACUCUCAUAAAUGCUACUAAACAUGAAUAUGCAUGAAUUUAAGGAGCAUGAAAGCAUUUAACCACUUAGGAGGAAUUUCCUCCAAUUUCAAGGAAGCCAAACCCACCGAUGACAACGAAACUCCUCGUGCGCUCCAACGAGGGUGUCCUCUAGUCUCCUAGUACCUUAGAGGUACAAGAACAAGUGUCAUCUAGUCGAAACAAACGACGCUAAGCUCAAUCAUUAAGCAUAUAGGGCUAGGGUAGACAAAAACUCACCGAUUGCGAAGGAAGCUCUCACAAUCUCCAAAUGGGAGCUAGAGUCCUUCCAAUCUAACCUAAACAAAGGUUCUAAACCCAUCAAUUUGAUACAAAAGCCCUCAAAACGAAAAUCCCCAAAUCUAACCCUAAAAUGCCAAAUCUAGGGUUUGAUCUAGUAAAAUCCAACAAAAUCCGAAUCUAGAGGAGAGAAAUUGCUUCUAACCUCUUAGAAGCUCCAAACCAAGCUCCCAAGUCCUCUAGGGUUGAAGGUUGAUCCUCAAACAAGCUCCAACCAAGAUCUCACACUUCUCCAAUGGUGGAAAACCCACAAAAAGUAAGAAGGAGAAGAGAAAAGAGAUCAAAACUAGCAAAAACCCAACAAAAAUGAAAAAGAAACCAAAGGGGAGGAGUUCUCACCUUAUCUUCUAUGUUCUAGGGCUCAAAAGAGCAGCCAUGAGGGCUGGGGUUACUUAUAUAGGCGUUGCAACAAUUGCAAAAACACCCCUCUACGAAACAGUCAAAAUCUGCACUGCGUACCGGUAUACGGGUUUGUGUACCGUACACUGCCCACGAAAUGCCAAACCCGAGCCUCGGGUUCGCUGGGAAAUGCUCUGUGUACCGGUACACAACCACGUACCGGUACAGCCAUCAACCGCGUACCGGUACAGCAAGCGAACCCCUACCGGUACACGGCCUGCUGAAGGCCACCCGAGAGCUGACCAAAAAUCCAACUUUUUGGAUUUUGGUACACAGCUUUAAACCACAAUUCUCGGGACUCGAACCAUAGGUCGGAACACUGUCAACGACCUACCAGAAAGUCUGGAAAAGCUCGACACACCCAAAGUCAACACACAUCGAGAGGUGCGUGCAAUUAUGCAAGGUCCAGUAGUGGUACAGGUGCGUAAUGGUCGGCUGGAGUCGGGAACGAACAUGGCAGGGUGCCGGAGAUCGAAACGGUGGUGGACGGUGCGUUCAGCUUCGGAGGCGACAGCAGGGGGCCUGAAGCGAGCUCGACAAUGGGUUUGCGUCGGACUAGGCUAUCGGGAGACCAGGACAGAGGGGGGCCGCUGGAGGGCGGAGCUGCGACAGGUCGUCGCGUGCUCGGAGCUGAUCGGGAAACGCGGACAGAUGGGGGGCGUUGGAGGCGAGCUUGAGCAGAUCGGUGCGGUCGGCUUGGAGGGCAGGACUAAGGGGGCCUUGAGGGAGCGGGUCAGACGAGGGCCAAGGUGCGGGUGCACUCGUUCGCAUCGGAUGCGGGCCUCGGGCUCGAAGAGUGGUUGCAGCUGGCGGGGCGACCUCGGUUGAAGACGAGGGAUGACAGCGGGUGGGUGAAUGUGAGCAGGCGUCAGUCGGUGGGAACCAAUGUCUCCUCAACAUCGCGGCCGUGACUGCUCACCGAGUUAGUGAUCUGGAUAAGCAUGACACAGAAUUGGGUGCGGUCCCGACGGCCGCGGCGAUGCAGGGGUCGGUGAGGAAGGAGGAGUUUAGUCGAUCAGGUGGCGGGCGAAGGGAGAUGAAGCGGCAGAGCUUAUUUUCCGCUAGGCGAACUGAGCCGCGGAUGACACCAAAACUCCGUACGCUUCUAAUCGUCCUCCGCCAGCGCCGUGAAGACCCCGAAACUCCAAUCGGGGACGCAGCAUGGCACGGUGUCGUCUCCGGCUCCACCGAAGGCGGUAGUCGCAGGGCUAGUGUUUGGUACUUGGUUCGCCAUGACUGAGGGGGAUUUCAUGGAGCGGUUCGGUUCGAUAGAGGAGUCGAGGAAGCGAUCGGAGCCGGGGAAUCGCUGGUGACGGAAGGCCUCCAUGGACCCGAGCCAUUGCAAUGACCGACGCUAGAGUGGCGGCGGCGCUCGGUCGAUGCGAAAGAGAGAGAAAGAGAGAAGGAGAGGGAUCCUUUACUUCUUUUUUUUUUUGCUUCUCUCUUUUUUUUUUGGCCGAGAGAGAUGGAGAGCUUUGAUAUAUUUUUUUUUUGAAACGGGAGAAAGAGAUAUAUUUCUUUUUUACCUUUUCUCUCUUUUUUCUUCCGAGAACGACGGACUCGAGUGGAUAUAUUUUUUUUUUUUGACUAGAUUUCCAAGAUUCAAAAAGGCUCUCCCUUUUUUUUCCGAUUUUUUUUUGAGAGGUAUUUAUGGGGUGAUUUGAGGGGGACGUGCAUACGAUUUGAGGGUGGCUGAGGAAAACGUGCGUAUGGGUGAGGAGGUUACGGGAUCGUGGGAUGGGGUCGUGGGAUACGGGUGGUUGUAACCGGUUUGAGGGAAACGUGCGAUGAGAAUCCGGGAUUGUGGGGUAUGGGUUGUUCGUAAUAAGAUUGUGGGGAAGAUUUUGUAUGGUCACGAUGGGAUUGUGAAAUAAUGGAUGGCUAUGGUGGAAUCAUGGAGAUAUUGGGUGGUUACGAUGGGAUUGUGGGAAUAUUACGGAUAGUCCGUUUCCUUUGCUCAUAUUACACCUUAGUCAAUACAAUAAAAUAUUAUAUGAUUAAAGCGGAGCAUUUUGUAAAUACAUGAAAGGGAAAGGGCUAAUAUGCUAUUUUUAAUACCCGUUCGUAUCUACGAGAACGUCCCACUUUUCGUAAUUUAUGCUCCCGGUGCAUGAGAUAUUUUCAAAAUUUAAAUUUUAUCCAUGCACCUGGUGCAUGGAUAAUCUCAUAAACCAUCUCUAUUUUUUUAUUUCUUUCUCUCUCCUUUUUUUUCUUUUUCUUUUUCUUCUUUUUUUUUUUCUUUUUUAUUCCUGUCUCUUUUUUUUAUGCUUCAACAAAUGCAACCCACCUUUUUCAGGCUUGUGAUUUAAACAAGGCGGAAAAAAGGUGCCGAUUUCCUUUCACUGUUCCAACCUUCAUAUCGCCAUCGAAGGUUUGAUCAUUAAAGAUCUCAGGUAUUUAUAUAUUUUUUUAUACCGAUUGAUCUCUUUUGAUGUUAUAUAUAUACAUAUCUGUAUGCAUGUUUGAGAUCUGUACGAGAUGUAUUUGACCCAUGAAUAGAUUGAUCAUGAUAUCUCUGACUUCAAAACAUCUUAUCUUAGUUCGUAGAUUUUACUCAUACGUUCCAUAUUGUAAUCCUUUUUCUAGAUCAUGGGAAAAACGAGCGAGCCAUUGAUUCAUCCCGAUGAUAAAACUUUAGGCGUAUUUAGAGGACUCUCUUUAAUGCGUUCACCUCCGAUAUUUGGACGUUCCGCCGAACGCGCAAUUCCUUAUGAGACGCCUAUGUUAAAAGAAUGGGCGAUAUUUAAACAGAAACAGUUGUUCGGUCGUUUUGGGGUUGACUAUUAUGCUCCUGAUGGUGACGGCAAUGUUAUAUUAUUGCCUCCAUUAGGUCCUCCGAAAGAAAGAGACACGUUACAAUCUCUCGGGUAUAAAAUACUUAAUGAUCACCCUGGAUGGUGUGGAAUGAGUAGAGUUUUUGGAGAUAGCAUUGAGGUAGAGGGUUUGAUUGAAUGGGGAAAUUAUAUUAUCUCUCAUUAUACUACUCAGUUACGUCGUGCUGGCAUUUUGGGGGGUAUCAUAGCUUCACGGGGGAAGUACAGUAAAAACAUCAAUAUCAUUAAGGCAUUGGUGGAGCUAUGGUGUUCGGAGACAAAUACUUUUCAUCUUCCAUAUGGUGAGGUUGGGAUUUCUUUAUGGGAAAUUAGAGAACUUAGUGGGCUUCCGAUUAUCGGCGAUAUGUAUGACGAAUAUAUCCCUCCAAAUUCUGAACUUUAUAAUAAAAAUAAUUAUCCCAAUUGCGUUAGGGAGCUUUUUGAUGUUUAUCAAUGGCUUAUGGCUCGAUCUUCUACCAAGCGUGUGCGGUAUGAUUUAUGGGUAAAUUUCUUUUACACAAGCUGUAAGAAGUUGAGUCGAUCUAAGUUUAGGAAUAUAAGCAAUACAGAACUCGCUCCCUCAUAUACAGAAGACACGACUCGAGCGGCCUACAUUUCAUUAUGGUUAUGCAACUUUGUAAUGCCUUCUGGGUUAGAUCAUUUCAUCAGGCCGGAGACAUUUAUUAUGGCUUCUAAGCUGGCGUUAGGUGAAAAGGUUUCCUUAGCCCCUGCCAUUCUUUGUGCUAUCCAUGCUGGUUUGUCUUUUAUGAGUGAUCAUCCCGAAGGUCUUGCGCAUCCUGGGCCUCAAUUUCCUGUUAAUUUUUUGUAUGCGUGGAUUGGUCUUCAUUUUGAACAAACUUAUUCUAGAAAAGUAAUCAGUGAUAAUAUCAAGAACAUUGCUGGCUUACGAAGCCCUCCUCAAAUGAUAUUUUUUAUGGAUGCGGCGGCUUCUCCUUUUAAUGCUAAGCGAGCACGGAUUCAUCUUAGAUCGAGCGCCCAUUUUGUGUGGGGUCCCCUGCCAUAUUUUUAUUCUUUUGUUAAUGAUGGUUGGCUUUAUGAUGCAAAAUUGGCUCCAGGAGAGUGUAAGUAUCCGAGAGAGGUCUAUGAGUAUAUAAUUUCUAUCAGACAGAGCGUGCUUCCACUUCGUUUGGGGAACAAAUUGCACACACAGCCGUAUAAUCCUCACCGUUUUGCUCGACAAUUUGGCUUCGAUCAGUCUUUUCCUGAAAGUAUCAAAGUUCCUAAGUUAGCGAACCAUCUUGGGACACUUGCUGGGUGUUGGAAUCAUUUUCUUCGAUAUGGCACUUCCACUAAUUAUUUUAUACCAAAGAAGGACCGGAUUGGGAAACCAACUUUGCAUUAUGCGCGCUGGUGGUCGAAUAGCGUGCAUUCGAGCUUCAAACACGGAGUAGGCUAUUUACUAGCUGUGGAUGAUCCCCGCAAGAAGAAGAAAGGUGUUGCUAUUGUUGGUAAAGAUUCUGAUUUUGAGGAGAGAUUAAACUCGUCAAAUGUUAGAGAUGAAAGGGUUCUGAAUAUUCCAGAACCAAAGGGAAAAGAACUGGACUUAUUUCCAGAAUAUGAUCAUAUUCAAGCUGAUCUUUCAGAUGACUCCCCUCAACGUGAAGUUCUUGGCCUCAGUUUUCCAAUUCAUGAAGACAAGAAAUCUGAGGUAUGUUCAUUAACAUUUUCAACUAUCUCUCUUUUUUUUAUUUUGCAUACUGAACUCCUUUUUUCUUUUCUUGUGUAUACAGGAAGUGCUUAUUACGGGUUCGCCUACCGGGGGUAAAAUGCACUUGCAAGAUCCUUUAACGAAGUCAAAGGUAUGACGUAGCAUCCAUAUGAUUCGAAUUUUGUUUGAUUCAUUCUGACACCCUUUCUUUUUAUAUAGGCAUGCGAUGUGGACCGUCAAGAAGUUCAGAAAAUCCACGCUUGGAUGUUUCAACUAAAGUGGCUCGUGGAAAACUUCUGGUAAGGACUGAGAUUUUUACAGUGCAACUAAACUCUCUGUUGACAAUGUUUAUGUGUGUAAUUUAAUUACAUAAGCACUCGUCAAGUUUCAGGAGAAAAUGAGCUAAGGUGGAGAAGUUAUGAGACCCGGAAGUUUGACUUAAGUGAAUAGUAACUCCGGUUUUUCGGAGAAGCCACGAAGCAAACUCGGCCUCUGGCGCGUACAGACCUCCAAACAUAGGACUCCAAUAGCUCGUUUCGAACCUCUCGACUAUACUGGAACCACUGGCGCUGACAGAAUCGGAUUCUGAUGCACGGUUAUCGAGAAAAAGGAGUUUUAUCAAAAAGAGGGUUUUUGUUCUGUGCUAUUCGUGCAGUUUAAAGCUCUUCGUACUCUGUGCAUGUGACCUAGAGUUGAGUGGAGGACGUUUCUAGUACCUACUGGUGGUAGGAAGCCCAAAUUUGAAUUUGAAUUAAAGGUUUAGCGAGAUUACACAUUGGUAUAUGUUUGUGGUUUCUGAAAAUUGAGAGCGGACGGUUUUCGUCGUGAAUCGGGGGUCAAAUCGGAUGAAACGAAUGCUAGAUUCGAUGCCCCCGACGUGCUGAACGCAAUGGUACUGUCGGAUCGAAAAUCCGACUGACGGAUCUCCGGAAAUUACGAGAAGUUCGCUGAGAGGUCGGCGAUGGCAAAACGGUAAUUUCGCAAAAGUGGCGAUAUUUUAUGUACCGUUUCGCGUGGAAUCGCACGUGGAGGGGUAUGUCGAGCGUUUUUCUAUGCUGUGGGGACUAGGAAUAAAUUGUUGAGUCUUGAGGACUUUUCGCAAAAAAUACAACUUACAUAUAUAUGUUGUGUGUUAGGUGGUUUGAUUGAACCGUAACCCUAAUCCGCCAACCCUAGUUCCCCGCCUCACUGUGAGUGUCCAUUUAUGCAUCUCCAGCCAUCGUUUCCCCACUUUCCGCUAACUAUUCCGGCAAUCCGAAUGGUCUUUUUAGACCUCGGAAGCUGAGCAACCGAUGAUUCCUUAGGUCGUCUGAACGUCGUGCUCCUUCCGUCGAGCCCCUGCGAUGCCGUUGGUUGCUCGGCAACGCGAUCUUCCUGCGGUGCCGCGGCUGCUUCACUGACUUUCGCGUCGCUUGUGCGCGAGCACCGCAUCGCCGAAUGCUGCUCCGAAUGGUGAGCACGGUCUCCGCACGCUGAACUAUCAGGCGGGGCGACGGCUUACCCCAGUCGACACUCGCUAUCCGCAAGAUCGGCCGGGCCAUAAAAACAACCUGUCGAAUAUCGCAUAAAAUAUAGAUUUUAGGGUGCAUGAUUGUGCUUUCCUCGCAAAUACCUUCGACUCCCGGUCGGACUGUGGCAUAGCGUGGUAAGACGCUGAGGGUACCUCUGGACUGAUCGUUCCAAGGCCCCAAGCAACUGCGGAGAUCGAAGAGCUCUUAUCGAGCGUUUCGCCGGCGAAAUUCGUACGACGGAAUGCGAUCAUUUAGUUCGGUUUUUAUCCGAGACGAUGCUCGGAUAAGUUGUGAUGAUCACAAGCCUUCUUGCAGGUCACCCGUGGUCGUUUCGGGGGUUCGAAAACGACGUGUGAGCGAACUGGUGGGGUCCGCGGGUGUCAAAAACACAUUCGGGAACCCGGAUUCGUACAAUUAUCCGGCGAUAAUUGUGUAGGGGUGUUAUCUUGUGUUUGCUGCCAAAACACCCAAAUUGGAGUGCUUUGGGGCAGCAGGUGACUCGUGACAUGAGUCGGUGAGUUUCGGGACGCUUAGUGGGUCCCGACGGCGUCCCGGUGUGGUUUUCGGGACUUCCGGCGAGUUAUGGUAAUCGGUAUUGGGAGACCGAUCUUCUUGAAAUUGUUUGUGGGGUUGUGGAUACUGUGAUUAUUAGUUGUGGGUUAGAUGCUAACCCGGUGGACCCUCUAUAGGUCCUGUCGACAUUCUUUUGCAGCCAGGAGACAGACGUGACAUCCUUACAGGUGGGUACUUCGAUUCGACGUCGGUACAGUGGUGCACGCUUGGUGAUGGUUUCUUACCCUUACUCUUCUGUUGUUACUAUCGCAUAAUAUAUUGAGCCUUGCACCCUUGUUUAUUCGUUAUACUCUACUCGUUGUUUGCAUACUUAGUAUCCUGAGUAGGAGUAGAGUAGUUCUAUCUUCAUGCGUAUCUGUUGACCUAGUUAGUCGAUUGUUGCAUUCAGUACUUGUUGACCUAGUUGGUCUGUUGUUGCGUUUAGUAUCUGUUGACCUAGUUGGUCGGUUAUUGCCUUUCCGUAUCUGUGACCUAUCGGUCGGUUCUUGCGUUCGUACUUUUAGUUGACAUCGAGCUGUAUCUACAUACUUUCUUUAUUUACUCUGCCUGGUUGUUCUAUGUGUAGUAUCCUGUAUAGGGGUAGAGUAGAUGGCAUUCGUAUAUACUAUACUUGUGACCUGGUUGGUCGGUUCUCCUAUUUGCAUCGGUGACCUGUUUGGUCGUUCGUUACUUUCCGUACAUUGACCUAUCUCGGUCGGUUCACGUUGUUACUUGAUGACCUACACGGUCGGUAUGCCCAGAGGGGCAGUGAUUGUCGGCUGAUUGCCGACAUUUGGCUAUUGAUCAUACCCGCAUUGAUCGCCACAGCUCGAGUGCAUUUCACGUACACCAGCGGGUUGAUCCCCCGCAGGAGGGUGUUCUUUUCCGAAAAAGUGGUCGUACAUCCGACCCGUGAGCCCAGCGGUGUUCUCUUUGUGUUAGGGUUACAUGUCAGGUGUGAGCAGGUAGUGGCUUUUGCCUGAGGUCCUUAGACCGACACGGCGGUUUAGAUUGGGUACUUUUGGACUUCUCGUCCGGUUGACGCAUAUAGCUAUAGUAGCGGUUGUUGCAUAUAUACUUCUAGUUCUUUCUUUACAGUUGUCUUGCUACUAUAGUUUUGAUAUCCUUGUAUGCUUGCAGUUGUACAUUACAGUAGCGGUAGUUGUGCUUUCAUAUAUAUAUCUCAUUUGUUCAUUAUCGUUUCUACUGUAUUUUACUUACCCAUACUGUUGUUUAUCUCUUCCUGAUCCGGUGAGUACUCCUCGCCUUCUUCGGCUUGCGGUACCCACUGGGAGGGGAGACAUGUUUACAUGUUCUCACCUCCCCCACUAUUUUUCAGGUAUUGCAGGCGUUGAGUUUUGGGACGAGACGUGAGGUACGUUCGUAGCGGUCGAUAGAGCUUCCGACCCAGGUUAUCGGUUUAGUUUUAUCCCUACUAUUCUGUUGUUAUAGCUUAGUCAGUUUAUAUAGUUCAGUAUUUUUAUUACAUUGGAAUAUGUGGACUUUCAUGAAUGUAAUAAAAGAAUUUCUGGAUUUGGUAAAAUAAAAGGUUUUCUACCCCUCGUGGUAGCUUUUAUAAAAGGUAAAAGUUUUCGCGUAUGGAACAGUUUUCAAAAGGCUUUUCGUGGACUAUUGUUUAAACAUCGAAUGUAAAACUACGGUGUGAAUGGUGAAUGUAUGAAUGUAUAGCUAUCUGUAUAUUCAUUUAGUUGUGGUUGUAUACUGUUUGUACUUUGUACUUGUGCGACGCCGUGCAAAUACAGGGGAGACUCUGUCCAUGUGAACAGUGGAUUCCCUGUAUUUGUGGCGGAUCUGGCAUACUCUGGGAUCAGGUUUUCAAAAAAAAAAAUUUUAAACGCUUUUCCGCUGUGUUUCAAACUAAAAGGGGACCCCGGGGCGUGACAACUUUCCAUUACUGUGUCUUCAAUGAUAGGUGAUCUUUAUGCGCAUUCUGCUUAUAAUUAAUUUCACAUGAUGUUGCCGCACUCAUCCUUUGUUUUUUUUUUUUAUUCACAGAAUCACAAGUCGGCGGGAGUGGAUCUAUUGAGGAUGACGUGUCUUCAGAUGAUGAAUUGGUUCCAACACUUUCGCCACCACAGGUAUUUUUGUUUUUCAGUUAGAUCCAUAUGCCUUUUUUUAGUUUUAAAUUAAGCAUUUGAUUCUCAACUAAAGAAGAAGGUAAGAUAUGGAUAAUAAUGUGUAAUUUUUCGUUAGAAAUCUGUAGCCACAAAAAUUUUGCAAAUCGGAGUUAUAACGAAAAUGUUAUGACCCGUUUACACUUUGGUCCCUGUAUUUACGAAACAGUCCCUGCGGGCAGUUUCAUUUCAGUCCCUGCAGUUUUAUUUCAGUCCCCGCAGCUUCAUUUUCCUUUACUUUUUGAUGCAAAUCUAUAUUCUAAGUCUUUCCUUUUUGUCUAAAGUUGCUCUCAAGGAAUUUCAUGGCUAUAGGAUUAUAAUGAAAAUGUUAUAACCUGUUUUACGAAAUGGUCCUUGUAGCAUAUAUCUUUAACUUUGCUUCGAAUAUCAAUAUAUGGUUCUUUUUGUCACAGAAUCCGUUCACCGAUGCUGCUGA
RNAcentral lists this long non-coding RNA (13049 nucleotides) under Ananas comosus (pineapple). Its description in RNAcentral is "long non-coding RNA (ACOM_LNC038144)". Lineage: Eukaryota; Viridiplantae; Streptophyta; Magnoliopsida; Poales; Bromeliaceae. The record is from RNAcentral.